This 1766-nucleotide ribosomal RNA is filed under the name uncultured Microgenomates group bacterium. RNAcentral describes it as "bacterial SSU rRNA". It matches the Rfam family "Bacterial small subunit ribosomal RNA". The record is from RNAcentral.
GAGCGGGCGUAGCCCGCAACACCAAACUUCUAACUCAUCACUUCUCACGAUAAGAAAAUCUCAAUUAGAAGUUGUUAAUAGUUAGUGGUUUCGUGUUGUGGGUUGCGUCAGCGGCAGACGGGUGAGUAAUGCAUAGGAAUCUACCCCAGAGUGGAGUAUAGCCUUCCGAAAGGUGGGAUAAUUCUCCAUGGUUUCGCAAGAGUAAAGACCGUAACUGGUCGCUCUGGGAGGAGCCUGUGUCCUAUCAGCUAGUUGGUAGGGUAAUAGCCUACCAAGGCAAUGACGGGUAGCUGGACUGAGAGGUCGAUCAGCCACAACUGCACUGAGAUACGGGCAGUACACCUACGGGUGGCAGCAACUAGGAAUAUCUGGCAAUGGACGAGAGUCUGACCAAGCGACGCCGCGUGGAGGAUGAAGGCCUAUGGGUCGUAAACUCCUUUUGCCCCGCCAUUCACGGCGGGGAGAAUAAGCACCUACAAACUACGUGCCAGCCCUGUACCAAUUAUGGUGCGGAGGCUGGGAAUUGGUGCGUAGUCAUCGCAGCAAUGCGAUGAAAGAAAAUCUCGCUAUAUGCUGGGAAAUUUUAAUAUGGCCGCGAUUAGAUCUUUUUAAUUAAGACACAUAUUGAAACAAUCAGCAGGCAACCUCUAAACUUUAGAGAGAGCCCUCAGAGACUACACGCGAGACCCCCAUUCAACGGGGUGAAGAUAUAGUCCAAGUAAUGUUCUGAUACCAAAUAAAAUUGGUACAGCGCCACCAGUCGCGGUAAUACGUAGGGUGCAAGCGUUAUCCGGAUUUAUUGGGCGUAAAGUGUGCGUAGGCGCCUUAUUAAGUCGCGUUUUAAAUACCAGGGCUCAACCCUGGGGCAAGAUGCGAUACUAUUAAGGUUGAGGACUGAUCAGGAUGCUGGGAACAGCUAGAGUAGCAGUGAAAUGCGUUGAUAUUAGCUGGAACACCAAAGGCGAAGGCAAGCAUCUGGGUUUUUCCUGACGCUGAGGCACGAAAGCUAGGGUAGCGAAACAGAUUAGAGACCUGUGUAGUCCUAGCUGUAAACGAUCCCCGCUAGAUUUUGGUUCGCAAGAAUCAGAGUCGUAAGUUAACACGUUAAGCGGGGCGCCUGGGGAGUACGGUCGCAAGACUAAAACUCAAAGGAAUUGACGGGGGCCCGCACAACCGGUGGAGCGUGUGGUUCAAUUCGAGACGAAACGAAGGACCUCACCAGGGUUUGACAUGAUACCGUUUACCCCGCCAGAAAUGGCGGGGAAUCCGCAAGGAUGGUACCACAGGUGCUGCAUGGCUGUCGUCAGCUCGUGCCGUGAGGUGUUCCCUUAAGUGGGGAAACGAGCGCAACCCCUAUCUAAUGUUAAAUUUUCAUUAGAAACCGCCCCGUUAUAAGUUUGGUUGAGAACUUUAGCAAUGAUUAAAAGAUGUAAUAUCGAUUUUUAGGUCUUCGCUAAAGCCCCUGGACCAUACUUGUAACGGGGAGGAAGGAGGGGAAGACGUCAAGUCAGCACGGCCCUUAUACCCUGGGCCACACACACACUACAAUGGCGAAUAACAACGGGUUGCAAGCAGGUAACUGUAAGCUAAUCCCUUAAAUUUCGCCUCAAUUCAGAUUGAGGGCUGCAACUCGCCCUCAUGAAGCCGGAAUCGGUAGUAAUCGCGGAUCAGCAAGCCGCGGUGAAUACGUUCUCGGGUCUUGUACACACCGCCCGUCAAGGCAGCAAAGUCGGGAGUAGCCGAACUUCGAUUAUGUCGGGGGAGGC